AGUCAGAGCGGAUGAGAAGAGCUUGCUCUUCGAUUCAGCGGCGGACGGGUGAGUAAUGCCUAGGAAUCUGCCUGAUAGUGGGGGACAACGUUUCGAAAGGAACGCUAAUACCGCAUACGUCCUACGGGAGAAAGCAGGGGACCUUCGGGCCUUGCGCUAUCAGAUGAGCCUAGGUCGGAUUAGCUAGUUGGUGGGGUAAUGGCUCACCAAGGCGACGAUCCGUAACUGGUCUGAGAGGAUGAUCAGUCACACUGGAACUGAGACACGGUCCAGACUCCUACGGGAGGCAGCAGUGGGGAAUAUUGGACAAUGGGCGAAAGCCUGAUCCAGCCAUGCCGCGUGUGUGAAGAAGGUCUUCGGAUUGUAAAGCACUUUAAGUUGGGAGGAAGGGCAGUAAGCGAAUACCUUGCUGUUUUGACGUUACCGACAGAAUAAGCACCGGCUAACUCUGUGCCAGCAGCCGCGGUAAUACAGAGGGUGCAAGCGUUAAUCGGAAUUACUGGGCGUAAAGCGCGCGUAGGUGGUUUGUUAA
RNAcentral lists this ribosomal RNA (532 nucleotides) under Pseudomonas sp. LT77. Its description in RNAcentral is "bacterial SSU rRNA". It matches the Rfam family "Bacterial small subunit ribosomal RNA", at positions 60 to 586 of the family's 1533-position model. The record is from RNAcentral. Lineage: Bacteria; Pseudomonadati; Pseudomonadota; Gammaproteobacteria; Pseudomonadales; Pseudomonadaceae.